Molecule: non-coding RNA, 1273 nt
Organism: Macaca mulatta (Rhesus monkey)
Lineage: Eukaryota; Metazoa; Chordata; Mammalia; Primates; Cercopithecidae
Source: RefSeq, a predicted model, not a curated record
ACAGAGUCCAAGGGCGUUUGGUGUGGGCGGGAGCCGGUACAUCUUCUCCUAUCCCUGGCAUAGGGCCUGGCACACCGCAGGUGCUCAAUAGUUGUUGAACAAGUGAAUGAAUAUGGGUCAGGUUCUGCUCUAAGAGCCUGGGAUUCCAACAGGAGUGCCACAUACUCUCUGCCCCACGGAGCUUACGGCCACGUGGACCUGCUGCAGCCCCCGCCUUCCUGGUCACCCUGAGCAACCAGGAGACACUUCUGUUAAAGUGCUCUGGACAGCAAUCGAUGCCAAGGACAGCUGGCUGGACCUCGAGCCCUUUCGUUCAAGCUGUUUGCAGCCCUGGCUCAACGCUGUCUGGCAGGGGAAAGGCAUCUUUGAGAAAGCCGGAAAGCAAGCUGACACAUUUGGCCUGGCUUCCCAGUGAAAAUCCAAAGCCCAUUACUGGAACGUCAUGCUCUCUAGGCUCAAAAAGCCCCAGGGAAAGAAGAGCCCCAGGCUCCAGGAACCCAGAGCCUUGAGGAACCACUGAGUCUCACGAUUGCAUGCUGCGGACCGUGGGGAGUAUCACAGCCCCAGACAUAGGGACAGAGUGUGAGUGCCUGCUUCUAGGACGGCCCAAGGAAGGCUGUUCUCACUCAAAGACACACUCCCAUCAGAUGCUUCUGGGCAGGUGCAUAGAACAGCUACCAAGACACAGCCACAGAGCACUCCCUACGUGGCUCUUUGGGAGGGCAGUUUGGCUCCAACAAUCACAAUUCAGGAAGAACAAGUACAUUAACUACAGCAUUGCACAAGAGGAGAAGCAAUGGAAGUGUCCAUCAAGAGGGGACUGGUUGGAAAGAAGAAACAAUGGGAUUCUACACAACCAUUUAAAAGGGGUCUUAACCUUGCUGUUACUGUUGGGAUAUUCCACGGAGGACCUCAUGCGGACCUGGCCUACGGAGGUGCUCACUGGAGACACUGGCAGGCAUCCCACAGAGUAGCUUGUCAUGUACAGCUCAGCGACACACCCCAGGUGUCCCAAAUAAUCCACAACAAACUGAAAUUGUUUCUUUGAAGAGCUGUGAAGCUGCCCUGCUUAUCAGUAGAUCACGUGGCCUGCCAUCUUUGCUCCCUGCCAGCUGCUCAGCAGCUUUUCCCAAGCAUAGGAGAACAAAGUCCACUGGUCCCAUGCAUUGGAAAUUCCCUUCUUUUCCCUCUCUCCCUUUUCUAUUUUGCCUAUAUAGAUGAGAUCAAUCUUUGAUUGCUCUUCCGAGUGUACAAAUAAAAUAGUGUGCAAACA